Molecule: ribosomal RNA, 497 nt
Filed under: uncultured bacterium
Lineage: Bacteria
Description: partial 16S ribosomal RNA
Rfam family: Bacterial small subunit ribosomal RNA
Source: RNAcentral
UAUGAACGCUGGCGGCGUGCCUAAUACAUGCAAGUCGAGCGAACAGAUAAGGAGCUUGCUCCUUUGACGUUAGCGGCGGACGGGUGAGUAACACGUGGGUAACCUACCUAUAAGACUGGGAUAACUUCGGGAAACCGGAGCUAAUACCGGAUAACAUUUGGAACCGCAUGGUUCUAAAGUGAAAGAUGGUUUUGCUAUCACUUAUAGAUGGACCCGCGCCGUAUUAGCUAGUUGGUAAGGUAACGGCUUACCAAGGCAACGAUACGUAGCCGACCUGAGAGGGUGAUCGGCCACACUGGAACUGAGACACGGUCCAGACUCCUACGGGAGGCAGCAGUAGGGAAUCUUCCGCAAUGGGCGAAAGCCUGACGGAGCAACGCCGCGUGAGUGAUGAAGGGUUUCGGCUCGUAAAACUCUGUUAUUAGGGAAGAACAAAUGUGUAAGUAACUGUGCACGUCUUGACGGUACCUAAUCAGAAAGCCACGGCUAACUACGUG